Long non-coding RNA from Myotis brandtii (Brandt's bat), 385 nucleotides. RefSeq lists it as uncharacterized. The record is from RefSeq and is a predicted model, not a curated record. The transcript is spliced from 3 exons. NCBI's taxonomy places the organism in Eukaryota, Metazoa, Chordata, Mammalia, Chiroptera, Vespertilionidae.
UGCGCGCUGACGUCACCCCGCGGGCGUCCUUGCCCACCUGGAUUCUGACGCUCGUUUGCGAGAGGUCCAGCGCGUGUGGAGCGCGGCGGGGCUUCCUGAAGUCGGUGUGACACCAGCCGGCAGGGAGCGCGGCUUUGGGCUCCUGUGUCCGGAACAGGGGGCGCCUGGGCCGACGGCGGCGCUGAGACCGCCUGCAGUUGGGGUUGGGUAGCUCCCCAGAGCAAUAUCUCUUGCCAAUGCCUCCUCACCAGCAAUAUUUUCUGAUUGGACCUGGAGGUCAGUGUACAAGAGAGGGUUAGAGGAAGUCCACACUGGUCAGCCUUCUGGGGAACAGAGCAAGACAAAGAAAAACAAACACCAAAAAAAUCCCCCACAAACAUACCUU